This 462-nucleotide ribosomal RNA is filed under the name Triticum aestivum (bread wheat). Its description in RNAcentral is "partial small subunit ribosomal RNA". The record is from RNAcentral. Lineage: Eukaryota; Viridiplantae; Streptophyta; Magnoliopsida; Poales; Poaceae.
AUGAUUGUAUGUACAACUGUAUAUCUUGGUAAACCUUUUCUACCCAUUGAGCAAAAUAUGUGUUCUACAGAUGGCGCCGACGGUGAAGCUCGUGCACAUGGUUUUGCUUUAAACGGGACUGGCUCACUAACUAACUCCCAACAAGUUGUCCUCGCUUACCUGAAAAAAUGUGGGAUUAAGCACACUGUGACACACGGCAGCAAGAGACAAAAUGAAGCAGCAGGGACUGGUGUGGUAGGUGAGAAAACAUCUUCAAGGAGGGAUUGGGGGGAUAAGUACCCGCCGUCAAUUGGGUUGAACCAUUCCCAUCCCUCUCCUGAAGCAAUUUCAAGGUUCAAUGCUAACAUGACUGCCUGUGAGGGUGGAAUUUUAAAGAAGAAAUGGGUUAAGCACUUCCAUCCAAUUUUGGCGGUUGCAUCAGGACAAGACAUCAGAGAUGAGUUGAUGCCAGGGGGGAGGUGA